Molecule: ribosomal RNA, 386 nt
Filed under: uncultured bacterium
Lineage: Bacteria
Description: bacterial SSU rRNA
Rfam family: Bacterial small subunit ribosomal RNA
Source: RNAcentral
GACGAACGCUGGCGGCGUGCUUAACACAUGCAAGUCGAACGGUGACGAGGAGCUUGCUCCUCUGAUCAGUGGCGAACGGGUGAGUAACACGUGAGCAACCUACCCCUGACACUGGGAUAACAGUUGGAAACAGCUGCUAAUACCGGAUACGACCUCGGCAGGCAUCUGCCGGGGUGGAAAGCUCCGACGGUCAGGGAUGGGCUCGCGGCCUAUCAGCUUGUUGGUGAGGUAACGGCUCACCAAGGCGACGACGGGUAGCCGGCCUGAGAGGGCGACCGGCCACACUGGGACUGAGAUACGGCCCAGACUCCUACGGGAGGCAGCAGUGGGGAAUAUUGCACAAUGGGCGAAAGCCUGAUGCAGCAACGCCGCGUGCGGGAUGACGG